Molecule: ribosomal RNA, 251 nt
Filed under: uncultured prokaryote
Description: partial 16S ribosomal RNA
Rfam family: Bacterial small subunit ribosomal RNA
Source: RNAcentral
ACGGAGGGUGCAAGCGUUAAUCGGAAUUACUGGGCGUAAAGCGCACGCAGGCGGUCUGUCAAGUCGGAUGUGAAAUCCCCGGGCUCAACCUGGGAACUGCACUCGAGACUGGCGGGCUAGAGUCUGGCAGAGGGGGGUGGAAUUCCACGUGUAGCGGUGAAAUGCGUAGAGAUGUGGAGGAACACCGAUGGCGAAGGCAGCCCCCUGGACAAAUACUGACGCUCAUGCACGAAAGCGUGGGGAGCAAACAG